Molecule: non-coding RNA, 2374 nt
Organism: Podarcis lilfordi (Lilford's wall lizard)
Lineage: Eukaryota; Metazoa; Chordata; Lepidosauria; Squamata; Lacertidae
Source: the annotation of a GenBank genome assembly
GGGACAGUGCAGCAGCCGCCCAGCGUAGCACUGAGCGCGGGAGAGAACCACACCAGACCAGACCAGGCAGCAGCAAGAAGAAGCUGGCAGCGGCGGCAGGUUAGGGGUUAGGGGGCGCAAAUUACUUGCCUUGCCCCGGGUUAGGGGGCACAAAUUACUUGCCUUGCCCCGGGUGCUGACAACCCACGCUACGCCGCUGGACUGAUAAAGAGAACCCAAGGGGUCAGUUGAGGCUUGAGGAGCCAGGGCAGUGAGGCGUUGGAGGGCACUGCAAAGUAGCUGGCAUUUGAGCAAGCAAGGGAAAUGAUUGGCAAGGGAGAGGCAGAGGCAAAUCGUCUCCAAAGGAUUGUAAGGAAAAGCGACUCCUGCACAGCAGGGGGUUGGCCUAGAUGACCCCUUAGGAUCCCUUCCUACUCAACCAUUCUAUGAUCCUCUGAAUACCUGUUUUACUGACCUUUCACGCUUGCCUAAAAGGGGCUAGAUGAGGGAUUUGAGACGACUCUUCCUAUCUUUUGGAUGCUGAUUUCUCAGGGAACCCCAAACUCUUGCCAGACCCCACAGAACUUUCAGCUUGCAACAGACUGGGACUCGAGGCCAUUGCAGAGGCACUGAGCCCCUUCUUUCCUGGGGAGAAGGAGGUAGGAUUCAGCAGAAGAGUUCAGGAGGAAAGUGACCGGCGCUUUCUCCUCUGCUGGAAGAAAAGCUCAAAAAAUGUUGCUUUUCUUUAAGGGCAGGAUUCAGGAACCAUUUGGAUGUCCCUUGAGAAUUCCUCGAAAGGAGAAUGGCAGACGAAAUUAAUGGAUUACGCAGAAUUGGACAAAAUGGCAGGAAGGAUUCAAAACCUGCGGGACCAGAGGAUUGGAAGAAGUAUAUGAACUAUUUGAAGAGCAAUUGUAACCAACAAAUUACGCUAGUAGGACUACAAGAAGUUUUGCAAGGAGAAAUAUACAAAGUGUUACAAAGUAGAAAAAGAUAGAGAUAUUGGUUAUGAGUUUUAAAUGUAAUAGGGAAAGUAAGAAAUGCAUACUAAGAGAUUAGACUGGAAAAAUUUUCAGACAGGACUGAUGGAAGUCAAAAAAAUGAAUAAGAUGUAAAAGUACGUAUGUUUAAUUAUUGUUGAAAGCGGUAUGUUAAAAAACCUAAUAAAAUUUUAUAUUAAAGAAGAAGAAGAAGAAUUCCUGUCAUUGUUUAAUAUUGAUGGAUAAUCCUAAUAUUUCUUGCCAUAGACAGUGGUAGCUGAGGGGGAGAAAGCCACUUUGCAGAAGUCCACCCACCCACCCACACCCCAGCUUGGAGGCAUCAAAGCGCUCUCCGGGGAUUUUGUCUGCUUGUUGUGCAGCUGCCUUGAAUACUUUUGAAAACGAAGUCCAUGCACAACCACGAAUCUCUUCUCUUCUUCCCACUCCCCGCAGCCUCCUGAUGAAAAGGAACUGGGCCUCCCAGCCAAACUGAAAAAGGCAGAUCUGGCAGGAACAGGAAUCUGGGAGAAUUUGCAGGAGAACCACGACCCAAGCGAAGCAGGCACAGAGAACCAACCAUAUUAGGCAAUGGAGUCAAAAUACGUGUGUGUGUGUUGCAUUCUAUAAUCCUUUAAAAAGCUCCUGGGGAAAUGUGAGUUAUUGUAUUUGACUGUCAUUGGGAGGGAUUAAAUGACUUGCAUUCUCCCUCUUGGUAUUUAUUCCCCAUACGCCUUGAUUUUUGCAGGCGAUAAACCCAGCAGUCCUGAAAAAACAGGAGAAAGGAACAGCUCUGCCAAUUCCAGCAGCUCACUUCCAGCAGGAGACAGAAGUUAUAACACCCCUCCACUGUUUAUCUCCAGCAUCCAAUAUUCAGAGAUAUACCACUCCCGGACAUGGAAGAUCCAUGAGCGAUCCACUUUAGCAACACUGGGAACAAGGCAUAAAUCACUCUUUUUAGUGGACUUCGGAACUCCCUGCCACUUGACACCAGGCAGGCGCCUUCGCUGUGCUCUUUUCGGGGUCUGCUGAAAACAGUCUUGUUUAGACAAGCCCGCCCAGGUGCUGUGAAGGUAGACGCGAGUUUUAAUCUGUUUUUAGCCUGCUGCUAUUUUAACUUUUCAGAAGUAAAUUUUAGGAAACAAAUAAACAGACAUUCCUUCAAAUGUAGGAAGGAGAUAAAGAGACAUUCCUUCAAAUGCUCAAAAGCCUGAUGUGAUUUCCUAGUGAAUACAGAGUGAAAAGGGCAGAGAGAGAUUUAAUUUCAAAUGCGAAGAAUUUGUAAAAGAUGUUUGGAAGUCAGAAAGAGGGAGGGAAGGAAGUUGAUGCUUUGUUUGAGCAAUGCUUUAAGUUAUGGAUUGGUGUAAUGAAAAUGUAAUGAAAUAUGGAAAACCCAAUAAAAAUUAUGUUUAAAAAAA